Molecule: ribosomal RNA, 336 nt
Filed under: Triticum aestivum (bread wheat)
Lineage: Eukaryota; Viridiplantae; Streptophyta; Magnoliopsida; Poales; Poaceae
Description: partial small subunit ribosomal RNA
Source: RNAcentral
AUGGACCUUGGGCGCCUCAACUAUGGGAUUGUGACCCUCAUCCCCAAGGUCCCGGGCGCCUCCGACAUUCGCCAGUUCCGCCCUAUCACAGUGAUUAAUGUGAUUUUCCGGAUCUUGGCCAAAGGGUACGCCAAUAGGGUGACCCUCCUCGCUGACACAAUUACCCAUCCGAACCAAUCCGCCUUCAUACAAGGCCGAUUUAUUCUCGAUGGGGUGUUAGUGUUUCACGAAGUCCUCCAUGAGGUCCGCCUAAAACGCCAUCGGGCGGUCUUUCUAAAGCUGGACUUUCACAAAGCCUACGACACGGUGCUGUUGGGGAACGUUGCAGAAAAUUAA